GAUGAACGCUAGCUACAGGCUUAACACAUGCAAGUCGAGGGGAAACGAUGAGAGAGCUUGCUCUCUUAGUCGUCGACCGGCGCACGGGUGAGUAACGCGUAUCCAACCUGCCUCUGACCAAGGGAUAACCCGUCGAAAGUCGGACUAAUACCUUAUGCAGUCGUCGGAAGUCAUCUGAUGACGACGAAAGAUUUCAUCGGUGAGAGAUGGGGAUGCGUCUGAUUAGCUUGUUGGCGGGGUAACGGCCCACCAAGGCGACGAUCAGCAGGGGUUCUGAGAGGAAGGUCCCCCACAUUGGAACUGAGACACGGUCCAAACUCCUACGGGAGGCAGCAGUGAGGAAUAUUGGUCAAUGGGCGUAAGCCUGAACCAGCCAAGUAGCGUGCAGGAUGACGGCCCUAUGGGUUGUAAACUGCUUUUAUGCGGGGAUAAAGUGAGGGACGUGUCCUUCAUUGCAGGUACCGCAUGAAUAAGGACCGGCUAAUUCCGUG
RNAcentral lists this ribosomal RNA (491 nucleotides) under uncultured bacterium. Its description in RNAcentral is "partial 16S ribosomal RNA". It matches the Rfam family "Bacterial small subunit ribosomal RNA", at positions 28 to 507 of the family's 1533-position model. The record is from RNAcentral.